AACUUUUAACAACGGAUCUCUUGGCUCUCGCAUCGACGAAGAACGCAGCGAAAUGCGAUAAGUAAUGUGAAUUGCAGACCUUGUGAAUCAUCGAAUCUUUGAACGCACAUUGCGCCCAUUGGUAUUCCGAUGGGCAUGCCUGUUCGAGCGUCAUUAUCAAACGUCAAGCUUGGCUUGCUAUUGGACUCGCUGUCCGGCUAAAGGACAUGUCCCAAAGAUAAUGACCGUGACGAGUGUGACCCUAGAUGCAAUGAGCUUUGUUAAGCACGCAUGUAAGGGACCACCCGGCCCGGUCUCAACCAUUUUUCUAGGUUGACCUCGGAUCAGGUAGGGAUACCCGCUGAAUUUAAGCAUAUCAAUAAGCGGAGGCU
Molecule: unclassified non-coding RNA, 371 nt
Filed under: uncultured Ascomycota
Lineage: Eukaryota; Fungi; Ascomycota
Description: sequence contains ITS2
Rfam family: 5.8S ribosomal RNA (bases 1-153)
Source: RNAcentral